Molecule: long non-coding RNA, 3328 nt
Organism: Poecilia latipinna (sailfin molly)
Lineage: Eukaryota; Metazoa; Chordata; Actinopteri; Cyprinodontiformes; Poeciliidae
Exons: 3
Source: RefSeq, a predicted model, not a curated record
AAGAAAAAACUCCAGAGGAAAAACGGCUCAGAGAUCCGACAGCCCCUCGGUAAUUUGUCGGGGUCAUUCUCCGGGAGCGUCCUCCUCGCCGUCGUCCUGCCCCUCCCCACGCCACACACAGGAAAUGAUUCAUCUGCAUCCUGGAGAGAAAAAAAGCUGAGCGCCGUUUCAAAAUUACCUACUAGAGGAUCAUUUGAAGAGACUCCUGUGGUAAACCCCAAAGGCGAGGUGACUCGGUACCUGAAGGAAGAUAGCGGGAUGAGAGAAGAAAGACUCCCCUGUUUGUUCAGCGCACAUAUUGGGAUGCCGUCCACCUCUUCAGGCAAGUCAAUCACUUACCUUACGGGCCUUAUUUUGUCAGCGUGUUAAUCUGGAUGAAUAUUUAGAGUCACACAGGACGGCGUAGCAGACGUCUCCCACCUGUGUUGUGAUGGAUUUGCUCCCAGUUGCGGCGUGAAGGAGGGGAACUCUUGAACGAGUUUUUGACUGGGGAAAAACAAGACAAAGAACACGAUAUGAUCCGACAUAUUGGUUUAUGGUGAAUAAAACAUUGGUUCUUUAUAACCUGUAGAAUAGUUUAAUAGCAUUUUAUCUAUUUGAUAAAAUGCUCUUAGGGAGGUAUUUUUCAAAUUAGAAGAAUUUGAAAAAUACUUCCCUAAAAAUCUUCAUGGUGCACACUUUAGUAGAAACCUCGUAGGGCUGCGGUAAUUCAGUCGAAUUGAAUAUUCCUCUUAAGUUUUUAUUUUGACUGUGGUCAUUACACGUUUUUAUCUCUCUCUCUAUAUAUAUAUAUAUUUAAGACUAGAAUCAUUUGAGCAUCUGUCCCAAAAUUACACUGUUUACAACAAAACAUUUCACUUUCUUAGUCGCCUGCAUCUCAGAUACUUUUUCAAAGUGUCCAACUCCAGUCCUGGAGGGCCAGUGUUCUUCAACUUUUAUGUGGGCCCCUCUGUCAACAGUUAAUGACCUGCUGAUGACAUAAUUCAGGUUUCAACGUACCUGAAUUAUGUCAUCAGAUGGAUUCUGUAGAAUUUGGGUGCAUGAGGAGGUAAUUCAGGGAUUUGAUUCAGGUGUGCUGGAUGUCAAACACAAAAGUUUCAAGACAUGCGCUGCCUUGAGGAUUGACACAUCAUCAUCAUCAACCUAUGUGACUAUGUCCGUCAAAAUGUCCUGUGAUUUACAGAUUAUCUUCAUCCCAACCCUCAAUCUGUGGGCGCAAAGACAAUGAAACAAAAGUCUGGUCUAAAAGGGGCUUUCAGCACCUUUCACUGUUAUUGUAUCACCAAAAAACCUCACGUCCCAUUGAUUACUGUACAUCUGGCAGCUGCAGCUUCUUAAAAUACACUUAGGUUAGCUUUCCUUGCAUUCUACCAUUUUUGUAUGUCUCUCGUCCCUGGAGAAUAGCGCACCGAAGCACAAUGCUGAAUGUACUGAGAAAACUGUGACAGAGCAAAGCCUGAGCCGUGACAAGCGGGGGGGCGGGGGAGUAUAACAAUGAGAUGUAUUCUCAACAUGACAGGCCAGAGAUUAAGUGAAUAUAUAAGAGCAAAAUGAAUCGAUAUUUCCCAUAUUUGCCAAAGAACCUUCCAGGGGGCCGUUAUGCAGCACUAAUUGUACCUAUAGGGGACAUUUUCUAAUGCAAUCAGCACUCUCAUUGGAAUUCACCGAAACUCUUCUGGUGGACAACCGGGAUCACCCAUGCUGCUCCUUAUUUCACUGAGUUCCCUUUAUUCCCUUUAUGCCGAUGUUUUCAAUAUUUCUUCUCUACUCAUUUGCAGCGAUCUCAGGCCAUGCCAAGGCUCAGUAUGAUUCCCUUAAUAUAUAAUUAGAUUAAAGAGGAAAUAUGAACCCAGGGAUUUCCCUCCAUCCAUGUUCUUACACUUUGUCCCCAGUGAGGGCAGUGAGGGGUGCUGGCAUUCGGGCGAGAGGCCGGGUUUACCCUGGACAGGUGGCAAGUCCAUAGCAGAGAUUUCCAUCCACUUCAUAAAAAUAUAGCAGUGAGUUUUCUCUGCCCCAUGUUACAUGCAGGAUAUGUCUUCACUUCAGAUGAUAGAAUGUGUUCAAUUUAGUCUUGAAGAAUGUUUAUCUGGUAUUUAAGAAGUUUUAACACUUGAUUCUGUUGGGAUGGAUCGACCCCUUCGUUGUAGCGAAGUGUGUAUCCUAAUCCUGUCCUUAACCCGAAAGAAGACUUUUGGGAUGACUUGGACCAGAGACUGCGACUCAGGCCUUCUUGUCCAACGUCACCUUGUAAAUAGACUCAUGUUAGAGUGGUCAAAAAAUGAACACACACAUCACUAAACCUUGUGAAAAGCUGUCUCAGAAGAGUUGAAGGUCUUAGGGUGGGCAGACAAUAUAACCUUAGGGAUUAAGUAAGAGAUGCAACUUUGUAUAAUCUGUCAUUUUAGCAGCAGUAGGAAUAAAUGCUGCUGUUCUAACUAAGCUAGAUCUUGUUAGCAUAUUUGCUUUGACGCAUCUAAUGUGACGCCAUGGUAUUUUUACCUAAAGUUAACAUGCUGUGAAAAUCUAAUACUAUUAGUGAGUUAUAGUUAAAACAGACAACAUGGACAGACCACUAAUGUUGACAGCGCUGUGCAUCAAAUAUCAAGUGACCUCUUUAAUAUGUGUCUGCAUGUGCUGAAAGUAAUAAAACAAAUUUUUUGUUAUUCCUAAACAUCAGUCACAUGUGAACAUGUAUCGAUAAGGAAGAGGUUUUUGUAGCCAAAGUGCUUCCUGACUCUGAAAGGACUUAAUUAAAUGCAGAGCCUUUAUUAAAUAAGAUAUGCUGCACUCUGCAUAAAUGCAUAAAUCAAUAGCAAAACUGCCACAGAAAUAUUAGAAUAAUUGAUCCGGGGUGAUUCAGCAGCAAGGAGGUCCAGGGGCUUGCAGGAUAUUAGCUCGACGUAAUAAUCUCGGUGAAGGUCAGUGGAUACUCCAGUAAUGACAAAUGUCCUCUCUUUGACUCCUGCUGGUCAGACUUUAUUUUGGCUGGUUACAGGAAAUUACUUUCUGCACCUUUCAUCUUGUUCCACUCACUGUGUAAGCUGCAGCUUUAUGGCAAUGACCAAUCAGGGUGUCAUAAAAACAAGCUGUAACUGUCCCGACUCGUCAUAAAAAACAUUCACUCAACUGACGUCAAACUGCUGGUUAUUAAAGUAAGAAUUAGAGGCUCGGUGAAUACCACACAAUACCGGCACGAGUGACCUUGCAAAACUUCUGCCUGUGGCAUGUCUGAGGAAGAUCAGAGAGUUAAAUGUACCACUUUUGUACUGAUAAAAAUUGUAGUUAAGUUUUUCUUCUCAACACAUCUGCAUCAAUUCUGGAGGAACAG